Molecule: ribosomal RNA, 253 nt
Filed under: uncultured bacterium
Lineage: Bacteria
Description: partial 16S ribosomal RNA
Rfam family: Bacterial small subunit ribosomal RNA
Source: RNAcentral
GACGUAGGGCGCGAGCGUUGUCCGGAUUUAUUGGGCGUAAAGAGCUCGUAGGCGGCUUGUCGCGUCGUCCGUGAAAACCUGCGGCUCAACUGCAGGCUGGCGGUCGAUACGGGCAGGCUGGAGUUCGGUAGGGGAGACUGGAAUUCCUGGUGUAGCGGUGAAAUGCGCAGAUAUCAGGAGGAACACCGGUGGCGAAGGCGGAUCUCUGGGCCGAUACUGACGCUGAGGAGCGAAAGCGUGGGGAGCGAACAGG